UUUUCACGCAAGAUUACGGGAGGCGACAGUAGGGAAUCUUGCCGCAAUGGGCGAAAGCCUGACGCAGCGACGCCGCGUGAGGGAUGAAGGCCUUUGGGUCGUAAACCUCUGUCGGAGGGGAAGAAAUUUUGACGGUACCCUCCAAGGAAGCCCCGGCUAACUACGUGCCAGCAGCCGCGGUAA
This 183-nucleotide ribosomal RNA is filed under the name uncultured bacterium. RNAcentral describes it as "partial 16S ribosomal RNA". It matches the Rfam family "Bacterial small subunit ribosomal RNA", at positions 323 to 523 of the family's 1533-position model. The record is from RNAcentral.